RNA transcript from Odobenus rosmarus divergens (Pacific walrus), 935 nucleotides. It is a transcript of the gene named olfactory receptor 1F1-like, with no coding region annotated. The record is from RefSeq and is a predicted model, not a curated record. Lineage: Eukaryota; Metazoa; Chordata; Mammalia; Carnivora; Odobenidae. The transcript has a single exon.
AUGAGAGGGACAAACCAGUCCCGUGUCUCUGAGUUCCUCCUCCUUGGGCUCUCCAGGCAGCCCCAGCAGCAGCAGCCCCUCUUUGUACUCUUCCUGAGCAUGUACCUGACCACGGUCCUGGGAAACCUGCUCAUCCUCCUGGCCAUUGGCGUGGACUCCCGCCUGCACAUCCCCAUGUACUUCUUCCUCAGCAACCUGUCCUUUGUGGACAUCUGCUUCUCCUCCGCCACUGUCCCCAAGAUGUGGCCAACUAUAUACUCGGGACUCAGACCAUCUUCUUUUCUGGGUGUCUCACACAGAUGUAUUUUCUCUUUGAGCUUGCCGACAUGGACAGUUUCCUCCUGGCUGUGAUGGCCUAUGACUGCUUUGUUGCCAUAUGCCACCCCUUACACUCCUCAACAAAGAUGACCCACCAGCUCUGUGCCCUGCUGGUUGCUGGGUCAUGGGUCUUUGCCAACCUGAAUGUUCUACUGCAUACCCUGCUGAUGGCUCGACUCUCGUUCUGUGCAGACAAUGCCAUCCCCCACUUCUUCUGUGAUGUGACGCCCCUCCUGAAACUCUCCUGCUCCAACACACACCUCAAUGAGGUGAUGAUUCUGACUGAGGGUUCUCUGAUCAUGAUCACUCCAUUUAUUUGCAUCCUGGCUUCAUAUAUCCAUAUUACCUGUGCUGUCCUGAGAGUCCCAUCCACAAAGGGAAAAUGGAAAGCCGCCUCCACCUGUGGCUCCUACCUGGCCGUGGUUUCUCUCUUCUAUGGCACCAUCGUUGCUGUGCAUUUCAACCCUUUAUCCUCCCACUCUUCUGAGAAGGACACCACAGCUACUGUGGUGUACACAGUGGUGACCCCCAUGCCGAACCCCUUCAUCUACAGCCUGAGGAACAGGGACUUGAAAGAGGCCCUAGAAAAAGUGAUGGGCAAGAAGACAUGCUCUUAG